UCUCUACCGUUCUCUCUACCGCUGUGGUUUGGAUAGGCGCGGCCAUGGGUUAGGCAAGGGAGAGCACUGGAGAACGCGGCAAUCUACUGGACCUCGUCAUGUACGGCAGCUAGCUGUUGUGGCGACGGGUCUGGAGGUUGGUGGCGCGGAGGAGGCGGUGACGCAUCUGACGGAGGGCACACUGGUUCGCUGAGUUCCCGGAUGAACUCGUGCAUGCUGAUCUUCCAAGCCGGUUGUACCAAAUCGAGUGGGCUGCAAGUGCGUUGUCUUGGAGGCCAUUCCUGACCGAGGCAUGGUCCGCGCGGUCAAGCUACUGCUGUUGCGCCGGUCACCAGGGAGACCGCAUCUUGCGUCGCUAAUCUGGAAACGCAGAUGCCGGUCGCCGGGGAGGUCACGGGUGCGGGGACAGAGAACUUUGGCGUCGCGUUGAAAGGCAUGUUGUUACUUUUUCGUCCCAGGCUAAGGAAGAGCAACAGGACGAAGGGAGGAAGACAAGAAAAUUAUGACAAUUUAGUUCAUGGUCUAGGAGCAAGGAAAGUACACAUCCAUCUUUGUGAUAUUGAUAGGCAUAAUACUACAUACAGACUCUCUCAAUUGUGUAGAUAGGUCAUCAAGUAACGGUUAGCAGUUCAUGCUUCUGCUUCACCUUUUAGUUAAUUAUCCGCUUUUAAGUAUUUGUUGUUGAAGUGAGCAUCAAAUUGCAGGAAUUUUGUAAUUCAUCAGUAGAAUUAUCCGCUUCAUUCGCUUUUGUUAUAACGACAGGCAUUUUGUAACAUCUUGCCGAAGUGCGCAUUUUGUAGAGAUUAUCCGUUUUUAAGUAUUUUAUUUAAUGUGUCAAUCUCCGGUUGUAAUCCUAGAAGGCAGUAAAUGUGCACUUGUGUUUUGCUAAUGCAACAGAGUAUCUAUGAGAUUAGUAAUUCUCUGUAUAACAUGGAAAUUCUUCAGAACUGUAAUUUUGAAUGAAGCUAUUUUCUGAUAUUUGAAUCUUGCCAAAAAUGAACAUGAGUGAUAUAACCCAUAUAACAAAACAGAUGAUAGUUGUCUUUGCAAGUUGCACUGCAAAGAUUGCUUUUUAGUGAAGUUAUCCUUGGCGGUGUUAGAUAAGUAUUAACGUGACUGUUUACUUGGUUAAGAUUACAUUCACGUUAUUUCUUCUAACCUUUUAAUCUCUAUACACAGCUAGCUACAGCUUGGGACAACUGCUAGAAGAAUGAACGGAUGAUUCCUCUACAGCAACGCCCGAGGUCAGGUUCUAUGCGAGUGCAGUAGUGCUGGCGGUGUCGGCCAUGGUUGUAGCAUGUGCACUUGCCGAGGGUCGAUGAGGCUUUGAUGAUGGCGCUAGCAAAGAAGGCAUGGAGCAAAUGGAGACGGGGUUCCUUUGUGACAACGUAUGGGAGGCUGAUGGGUUCCCUUGGAAGUUGGAACAAUGCGAUGUUGCCGAGACAGCACACUGGGUUCCAAUUCCAGUUGGACGAAUAGUAUGUACGUGAUUCAUUCACUCUUUUGAUCAUUCCUUAUUGAACGUACUGCAGUUGGAGGAUAUACCAAUAUAAUGGAUGGAUCUACUAAAUAUUAACAUGCCAAGUACGACAGUACAUGCCAACUAACUGAGCUAUAUAUGGUGUGACACUGACGAUCUACGCGCUUCCUCCCUAAGUGUUGUUUGCUGACUGCCGGGCCUUCCAUGGGAUGUUGUGCGCGGAUAAUUUUGUGGGAAGUCUUACCGUCCCUAUUUCAUAGAAAAAAAUCCAGGUUGCUGAGUUUUGGCCUUAAGGUGCAGCAUUGAUAAGGAAAUUAUGCAUCUUUUGAGGUUACUGAUAUUUAACCAUCUCAUGUCUAUCAAUAGUGCAUACAUUAUGGUUGAUAAAAAUAUCUUGCCAUGUCAAAUGCAUAAUGUUGUAAUUCCUCCAUUCCAUAAUGUAGUGCACCCACGCUUUUUGAGAUAAAGUUUGACCAUAAAUUUAACUAACAUGGUUAAAUUUAUGGUCAAACUUAAAUCUCGAAAAGCGCUGACGCACUACAUUACGGAAUGGAGGGAGUAUAUGAUAAGUUUGGGUGUAGCUCUGUGUUAGUGCCAGUUGCUUAUUAUGCGCUUAACCUAUUGUAUCUUUUUACCACACAGAUUAAUUAAUUCAACCUGAGGAUAGACAUCCUCACUUCAGUUCAAAAUAAUCCAGAAGAAGUGUGAUUUCUAUUCCAUAUUCAUUGACUUUUCUAAGACCUAUUAGUAAAUUCAUUAGCUUCUUUAAUCCAGUGAUUCUGGGUAAACCGGCGAAGAAUAUGAAUAUUACGUAUGUAUAUUACCCCUUCUUCUAUCAUUUUUAUUAUUUUCAGAAUAUUCAUAAUGAAUGUUUUGAAUGGGUUAUAUAUAACGACACUGAAUGAGGGUCUAGAGGCUAAAUUAUUGUUCAUCAAUUUCGAAAUUGCCCGGGUUGUAUAAGGAACCAUGCUGGGUAAGUUUACAUCCUAAUACUAUGCAAUAUUAAAUGACCCAUCACCUAAUAAAUACAUCAGAUGUGGUAUUUUAUAUAUAUGACUAGAGAGUUAUGUCCCAGACAAAUAGUGAAACAGAAUGCGUGCAUCAUUUAUAUUGGCAGAAAAAUGCAGAGCAUUUCAUUUGGCAUAGAAAAAGUCAACAACAAGUUGGGGAUUCUUCUUACUGAAAAAUAGAAAUAAAAGCAAGUUUGGGAUUCUUCUUUCUGAAAAAUAAAAAUAAAAGCAAGUUGGGGAGAGAGAGGGUCAAAUGGUUUCAUGUGGUUCCAGUAGUCGCCCGGACUGAUGGAAUUAGGGUUUUCGGGUAUAGGCAUCGUAGUGGCGGUGACGUCCACACUGAUCUUUUCGUGAACUUUUGCUGACGAUAAUCUUGGAAAAUCAAUAUUUUUUAGAUUUUUAAAUUCGUAAAUUAUGAUAUAUACAUGGUUGCAAUUCUCGUUAUUUUGAUACCCAUUAUUUGGUCCCACACCUGAAUAGAUGAGCGGGGGGUUGCAUGUAUGGACCUACUAAAUAUGAAAUUCUAAAUUGCCUUUGGAAAAUAUGUAUGCCAAAUUUAUAAUAUUGGGUGUUCGAAGAACCUCUAUUAUAUUAUAAGGGUGUCAAUUUUUGGUUCCCAUUGGAACGCAUGGGCGCUCUACUAGAAAAUGUGACAAAUUACGUUUCAUUAGAGAUGGCUUUGCAGCGAAUUGCAUAAACGAGGAGUUCAUAAUUUUUUCAUCAAGUUGUACAAUUUUUUUGUUAGGAUAGAAGGGUAAAUGCAUUGGUUGGUUGUUUCAAGAGUUAAUAACGAACACGGUGGUGUAUCUAUUGCAUGCCCAACGGUUGAUAUUGUAUUUUGUUUCAUGGUAAUGCACGAUAUUCAAUAGUAUGAUACAAUGUGGCAAUGACUCAGGAGAGAUCAGAUCUGCCUUCUUGGCUCGGGGGUGGGGGGUGUCAUGAGCGGCGCAUGCCUUCUCCCCCUUUAUAGCAGUGGCGGAUCGACACGAGCCCGAGUGGAGGGGAUUAGGGCGGAGAGCGGGGCGGUUGGCAGGGGACCUUUUGGCGGUCCAUGGGGAAGUAUGGUGUG
Long non-coding RNA from Triticum dicoccoides, 3559 nucleotides. RefSeq lists it as uncharacterized. Lineage: Eukaryota; Viridiplantae; Streptophyta; Magnoliopsida; Poales; Poaceae. The record is from RefSeq and is a predicted model, not a curated record. The transcript is spliced from 3 exons.